RNAcentral lists this ribosomal RNA (1063 nucleotides) under Escherichia coli. RNAcentral's name for it is "partial 23S ribosomal RNA". It matches the Rfam family "Bacterial large subunit ribosomal RNA", at positions 134 to 1238 of the family's 2925-position model. RNAcentral also lists the same sequence under 1 other name. Lineage: Bacteria; Pseudomonadati; Pseudomonadota; Gammaproteobacteria; Enterobacterales; Enterobacteriaceae. The record is from RNAcentral.
UGUGUUUCGACACACUAUCAUUAACUGAAUCCAUAGGUUAAUGAGGCGAACCGGGGGAACUGAAACAUCUAAGUACCCCGAGGAAAAGAAAUCAACCGAGAUUCCCCCAGUAGCGGCGAGCGAACGGGGAGGAGCCCAGAGCCUGAAUCAGUGUGUGUGUUAGUGGAAGCGUCUGGAAAGGCGCGCGAUACAGGGUGACAGCCCCGUACACAAAAAUGCACAUAUUGUGAGCUCGAUGAGUAGGGCGGGACACGUGGUAUCCUGUCUGAAUAUGGGGGGACCAUCCUCCAAGGCUAAAUACUCCUGACUGACCGAUAGUGAACCAGUACCGUGAGGGAAAGGCGAAAAGAACCCCGGCGAGGGGAGUGAAAAAGAACCUGAAACCGUGUACGUACAAGCAGUGGGAGCCUCUUAAUGGGGUGACUGCGUACCUUUUGUAUAAUGGGUCAGCGACUUAUAUUCUGUAGCAAGGUUAACCGAAUAGGGGAGCCGAAGGGAAACCGAGUCUUAACUGGGCGUUAAGUUGCAGGGUAUAGACCCGAAACCCGGUGAUCUAGCCAUGGGCAGGUUGAAGGUUGGGUAACACUAACUGGAGGACCGAACCGACUAAUGUUGAAAAAUUAGCGGAUGACUUGUGGCUGGGGGUGAAAGGCCAAUCAAACCGGGAGAUAGCUGGUUCUCCCCGAAAGCUAUUUAGGUAGCGCCUCGUGAAUUCAUCUCCGGGGGUAGAGCACUGUUUCGGCAAGGGGGUCAUCCCGACUUACCAACCCGAUGCAAACUGCGAAUACCGGAGAAUGUUAUCACGGGAGACACACGGCGGGUGCUAACGUCCGUCGUGAAGAGGGAAACAACCCAGACCGCCAGCUAAGGUCCCAAAGUCAUGGUUAAGUGGGAAACGAUGUGGGAAGGCCCAGACAGCCAGGAUGUUGGCUUAGAAGCAGCCAUCAUUUAAAGAAAGCGUAAUAGCUCACUGGUCGAGUCGGCCUGCGCGGAAGAUGUAACGGGGCUAAACCAUGCACCGAAGCUGCGGCAGCGACACUAUGUGUUGUUGGGUAGGGGAGCG